GGGGCGUUAGCUCAGCCUGGUCAGAGCUGUGGGCUUUUAACCCAUGAGUCGCAGGUUCGAAUCCUGCACGCCCCA
RNAcentral lists this transfer RNA (75 nucleotides) under Actinomycetota bacterium. Its description in RNAcentral is "tRNA-Lys". It matches the Rfam family "tRNA". From Rfam's summary of the family: Transfer RNA (tRNA) molecules are approximately 80 nucleotides in length. Their secondary structure includes four short double-helical elements and three loops (D, anti-codon, and T loops). The record is from RNAcentral. Lineage: Bacteria; Bacillati; Actinomycetota.